GACUCGUGGUUUCCCUGGGCACCUUAAGUUUUAGGGAAAACUACUUUACCUUCGAAGGAAACUUUCAGUCCGUCGUAUUCUUUGAACCAGUUAACACGUGCUCGUCUCGGAUUGUGUUAAGGAUAACAGGCAGGACACACAAUAAAGACACUAACUUCAAAAACUGUAACGACCUACAGAGCUCAAGCAAUCUGCUUUCAAACUCGGAUACAAACACACUCACAAAAGGCCCACCCACUCCUAAAAGCAAGCCGAUCAAGAAUAUGAACAACUCGUUUUGAUUUUUGUAUUCACCAUAGAAAGAAAAGAGUGCGUACGAGAAAAUGAAUCCUCCAUUUGUGUCGGCAAAACCAGAUCCUGGUGACUUUUCAACUGGUUCCCCAAUUCCAACACCCGUUGUGCCACCCCCAAAGCCACCUCCGCAGCCACCACUACAACCGCAACCAUUGAAUCGUCAGCUUUACGCCAAACCUAUAAUCGCACCACAAAUUCUCGAUCUUCAUAAUAAGCCAUCGCUACCGCAAGGACAAGGUAACCAAUACACCUUGAAAACUGGUGCAUUUCCACCGCAUACAGCGUCAAUUUAUUAUCAAUCUGGAACAAGACAAAUAAUGAGCCAAAAUGGACCGGGAACACAGCGGCCGCCCAAUCCUUCAAUGUCACCCCAAAACAUGCGCCCUAUGGGGCCACCGAUGCAAAGACCUGGAGCACCUCCUCCCACCCGACCUCCCGGUCCUCCUGGGCAGUAUAUCAUUCCUCCAAAUGUGAGACCUCAAAUGCCACCACCGCAACAGCAGCAGCAGCCUAACAUGCAACGACCGCCUUUGGCUCAAAAUAUGCGUCCAACCACGCCCCAACAAGUGAGACCCCCAAAUAUUAUGCCACAGAAUGUAAGGCCUCCAUUUUCCCCGCAAAACUCAACGGCAGCAGCUAAUCAACCAAUCAGACCAGGAGCUCCAAUGAUGAGGCCACCAAACAUAGGACAAUCUCAACCUCCUAUAGUUGGUUCUGUUGCUCAGCAAAAUAGACCUUCACCAAUUCCUCAGCAAAUAAUUAACAAUAGACCACCGUCGAUGCCAUUCAGAUCACCAGCACAAAGUGGCAACCUCGAUCAGUCAGGAUCUGAAAGAGACUCUCCCGAAUCGUUAAAUAGGAUGCAAUCAGAUUUGAGCUUUGGUAAAACUGAUAGUCCUAGAAGCAGUUAUUUGUCUACAGAUGAUGAUGAUGACGUGGUUAUAGGAAAAAUCACUCCAAUGGCAUCAUCGCGAUCUCCCGAUGAUCAGUUGAGCCCAACAUCGAAGACAUCGGCACCUUUCAACAGAUCUGACAGUCAAAUGUCCAUACCAUCAAGGCCACCAUCCGGACUUGGAAACUACAUGAAGCCUUCGGACAGCUUAAGAAUCGCACAAUCGCCUCAACCACUUCAAUCGAACGAAAUUGUAUAUAAAGAGAAGCAUAUGAUUUCUGCAGACAAACCGCUGGACGGUUUGAGCUACUCAGAAAAAACUCUCGACGAACAGUCGAAGCCAUCAAGCCGCGUUCCUUCGACCGACAACAUCAAUCGACCUAGCAAGCCACAGGACUUGGGGUCAUCACGUCCACUGGCUUCAACAACAGUGGGGAAACCCCGGCAAACGGUACCAACGACACCCGGUGGAACCGAACGAGUCACGUUCGUUUUACCAGAUGAAACGAACGGCAGUCGAAACUCGGAACCCUAUCGGAAGACCCCCCUUCCGCCCCAUGCUCUUGAAAAGCCCGACGUGGAAACUCGUGGUCGUAGCCCUUUCAAGAGCAACCUUUCCAUGGAUAGAGAUCAUCCAUCAGCGGAUAAUAAAGGUGAUAAUGACAGUGGAGUGGACGAAUCAACGCAGGAAAAGGAUCGAAAUGGUCCAAAUUCUCCAGGAUCUCCACUGAAAUCACCUACUAAGAUUCCAUCAUUGCGGAGGCCAGAGAGCAUAACUCCCCAAACAAGAUCGAGAAGCACUUCGAAGCAACGUCUUACUGCUAAAACACCAGAAACUCCAACCGAACCAUUAAUUAAAAAAGUACCAAUGAAUAAGAUCCAAGUCGGUGCAGCUCCUUCGCCGAAUUUGAAGGUGGUUAGAUCUAAGAUAGGAUCGUUAGAAAAUGCAACGCACAAACCAGGCGGUGGACACGUUAAAAUAGAAACCAAGAAAUUAGACAUCAAGGCAGCUCCCAGAAUCGAAGCGAAAAACGAUGCUUACGUUCCCAAAGGAGGCGAUAAAAAGAUUGUAACCACGAAGCUGACAUGGAAUGCGAAGCCCAAGAUAGGCUCGCUAGAAAACGCCAGCCACAGACCAGGUGGAGGUGACAAAAAGAUUGAAACGCUUAAAAUGGACUUCAAAGACCGUGCCAGGCCGAAGAUUGGCUCCAAAGACAACCUGGGAUACCAACCGGGAGGUGGCGAUGUCAAGCCUGGAAGUGCCAUCAUUGUUGAGCAAAAAAGAAGAGCUAUUGUCAACCAAAAGUUGGACAUCAAAGCCGAGAGCAAGGUGGGCUCGCUGGAGAACAUCAAACAUAAACCGGGCGGAGGCGAUAAGAAAAUUUUCGAUGACAAGGACUAUUUAAAGCAAAUUGACCACCCGGUGGGCCUAACGCCACCAUCACAGGAUUAUUUGUACAAGUUCUAUUGAUUAUACAACAAAUCCGAACCAUGUAUAGCCAGGUAGAAGAAAGUUCAACAAAUAGUCCCUAAAAUACGUAAUGAUUUAAGGUUUUUACUGUGCAAUUAGUCCAACACCGGACGAUGACAGCGAUUAUGGGAACAUCGCAUCAGCAGCAGUUGCACAGCUUAACACUUCAAUCACUGCUACCAAAGUAGAAUAAAUCGAACUGCAGUCACGAUUUGCUUUGGAUAAACUUUGCGAUUUACACAUUUACUCACAGAUUUGUUUUUUUAUGAUUCCACUAAUCGCGAUUAGCUAGAAGUAGCUUAUUUUAGUUAGAGCGUGUAAUUUUUUGUAGGUAUUUAACUUUUGUACUAACAUACACAAUAAGCUAGUAACUCACGCCUGAUAUUUAAAAAGUACGUACAAAAUAUAAGCAAAUCAUAUAGAACGAGUAUCUUACCCAGAGCCAUUAUUUAUCACACUCUAAAUAUACAGUUACACUUCUUGAGCACUUCUUCGCAAUAAUUUUCGAUUUUCUUGAAUAAAAAGUUAAUAUUUAGCUAAUUUUUGUUUCUAUACAAACACUUAGUGAAGAAAAUUUUUUAUACCGUUUCCUAUUGGUCAUUUGCUAAGAUCACUGCUACAUUUACGACAUUCAUAUUGAAUAAUGUUUUUCAUAUGUUAUUUGUUGAGUUUUAUUUUACUGUAAAAUAUCCCUGUUAACUAGAAAAAAUGUUAAUUGUUUUCGUUUACGAUUGUCAGACUUUUUAUUUCAUCCUUAUUUCUUCUUUAUUUCGUUUUAGUCGCCGGUUCCUGAUUUUGAUAAAAAUUCGUACUAUUAAAUAAGAAUGACCCUUACAGAUCCUGCGAUAAGAGCAAAUCAAUGAUGCCAACAACUGAAAGCAUAAUUUAUAUAUCAAAUAAAUACAAUGUAGUUCAAACUCGGCUCUGUUAAUUAGUUCAUAAGUUUACGUUGUAUUAUAAUUGGACCAUUUUUAGAAAAGACAUUGGCUGUAGCUGCUUCGCACCGAACGAUACUGCAGUACUAUCUUUGAAUCAAUGUAGCGAUAUCGAAGAAAAAACGCUGUUAAAAAUAUAACACCUGUUUUAUUUAUUUUUUCGGUUAUUAAAAUUAUUUCCAAAUUAUACCAUCUUGGGUAGAGUACCUUCUAGUCAAAUAUUGAUUUUUGAUGCAAGUUUAGAGCAGAAAUCAAGCACAUUUGUUUAACAUUAUCCUUUCAACUGGAACAUUGUAUUUUAUAAAUAUAAUUCAAUUGAAAGCAAAUUUGUCAUCACUACACUGUUUUCGAAUAAUUCAAAAUAUUUAAAAGUAAAUAAAAUACCAUUGAUUGAUCAAUCUAUUUGGCCCAAAUGGAAAACUAGUAUCAAGGUUACAAACAUAACUCACUUCUUUCAACAAAUGUUACUACCAACUGAGCUACCACCAUUGAGCAUAAAAUUGAAAAAAAAGAAUGGAUGUACCAUUUAUUUAGUCGUAAAGAAUGAGCGAGAAAUAUAAUAUUAAAAAAUA
This is an RNA transcript of Aedes albopictus (Asian tiger mosquito), 4164 nucleotides long. RefSeq lists it as uncharacterized. NCBI's taxonomy places the organism in Eukaryota, Metazoa, Arthropoda, Insecta, Diptera, Culicidae. The record is from RefSeq and is a predicted model, not a curated record. The transcript is spliced from 11 exons.